This 636-nucleotide long non-coding RNA is filed under the name Rattus norvegicus (Norway rat). Its description in RNAcentral is "long non-coding RNA NONRATT004429". The record is from RNAcentral. Lineage: Eukaryota; Metazoa; Chordata; Mammalia; Rodentia; Muridae.
UUUUUUGUUUGUUUGUUUGUUUUUUUGAGGUAUUCCUAAAAAUAGGGAUGUUUGAGACUGAAUACAGAUAAUUUGAAAAGUCAUCAGAAGAUGCUCAACGUGCAUCAUGACCUGAACAUCACCAAAGAAAGGAGCAGGGACCUUCAGGAACUGGAAAGGGUUCUGUCAACUCCAGACUUUCAGUAUAUUACUGAACGUGUAACACACGGGCAACCUCUCUUUUGGAGUAUGUCCCACAGAUAUUAUCUCAUUUUACAAGGGGCUUCUGAGAUGAUUAGUAACUUGCCCACAGUCAUCCAGAUAGUAGGAAGGAAGAUAUUAGUCCACUAAGGAAGAUGUUAAUCGGAAUUCAGCGCUAAGCAGGGUUGACUGUUAUUCAGCUGAGCCCUCUGCUUCUUCCUGCCGCCCAGAUAAUGCCACCUACACCCCUACCUUUUUUUUCUCCAAGCUUUAUAAGCUCUUUUCCAGUUUUUUUCCCAUGGGCUCUUUCAUAAUUAUCCAUACGAAUGAAGCAAGGACAAGAAACAAGUCUGCUCUGUAACCUAAACCUCGCUGGAGAGGAAAUGGAAAUCCUUGUCUUGACCUGCCCGGCCUCCUCUAGGUCAUUGUGACGAACAAGAGCUUAAUAAGAUCAGG